RNAcentral lists this ribosomal RNA (960 nucleotides) under Russula sp. TH9541. Its description in RNAcentral is "eukaryotic LSU rRNA". The stretch from base 350 to 960 matches the Rfam family "Eukaryotic large subunit ribosomal RNA", at positions 1 to 610 of the family's 3401-position model. Lineage: Eukaryota; Fungi; Basidiomycota; Agaricomycetes; Russulales; Russulaceae. The record is from RNAcentral.
UCUUGGCUCUCGCAUCGAUGAAGAACGCAGCGAAAUGCGAUACGUAAUGUGAAUUGCAGAAUUCAGUGAAUCAUCGAAUCUUUGAAACGCAUCUUGCGCCUCUUGGCAUUCCGANGGGCACACCCGUUUGAGUGUCGUGAUAUCCUCAACCUUUCUUGGUUUUAACCAAAGAAAGGCUUGGACUUUGGGGGUUUUCUUUGCUGGCNUUAUAUUUGAAGCCAGCUCCUCCUAAAUAAAUUAGUGGGGUUCGCUUUGCUAAUCCUUGAUGUGAUAAUUUUUUUUACAUCUUGGGUUUUGCACUGUUAUCCUGCUCCUAAUCAUCUUGCAAAAGAUAAUAUUUAUAAACCUUUGACCUCAAAUCGGGUGAGACUACCCGCUGAACUUAAGCAUAUCAAUAAGCGGAGGAAAAGAAACUAACAAGGAUUCCCCUAGUAACUGCGAGUGAAGCGGGAAAAGCUCAAAUUUAAAAUCUGAUGGUCUUUGGCCAUCCGAGUUGUAAUUUAGAGAAGCGUCUUCCGCGCUGGACUAUGCACAAGUCUCCUGGAAUGGAGCGUCAUAGAGGGUGAGAAUCCCGUCUUUGGCAUAGAUUACCAGGGCUUCUGUGAUGCGCUCUCAAAGAGUCGAGUUGUUUGGGAAUGCAGCUCAAAAUGGGUGGUGAACUCCAUCUAAAGCUAAAUAUUGGCGAGAGACCGAUAGCGAACAAGUACCGUGAGGGAAAGAUGAAAAGCACUUUGGAAAGAGAGUGAAACAGUACGUGAAAUUGUUGAAAGGGAAACGCUUAAAGUCAGUCGCAUCACCUGAGACUCAGCCUUGCCUUGGCUUGGUGUACUUCUCAGCUGAUGGGUCAACAUCAAUUUUGAUCCUUAGAUAAUGGCAAGGGAAAUGUGGCACCUUUUACAGGUGUGUUAUAGUCCUCUGUCGGAUGUGAGGGUUGGGAUUGAGGAACUCAGCAUGCACCUU